RNAcentral lists this small RNA (136 nucleotides) under Gloeocapsa. Its description in RNAcentral is "sp. c-di-AMP sequence". It matches the Rfam family "c-di-AMP riboswitch aptamer (ydaO/yuaA leader)". Rfam says of the family: This family represents a conserved RNA structure found upstream of the ydaO and yuaA genes in Bacillus subtilis and related genes in other bacteria. The ydaO/yuaA element is thought to act as a genetic "off" switch for the ydaO and yuaA genes in its native state. RNAcentral also lists the same sequence under 1 other name. Lineage: Bacteria; Bacillati; Cyanobacteriota; Cyanophyceae; Chroococcidiopsidales; Chroococcidiopsidaceae. The record is from RNAcentral.
AUAGUAAGUCAGCCUAAUCUAGCUACUGUAGAGCGGGGGAACCAAAUUUGGGGCUUAUCUCUAGACCAAAGUCAAGAGAAGGACAUCUCUCAGUCCUAGUCCGUCAGCUAACCUCGUAGGCAUAGAGAGAAGACUG